CCUACGGGAGGCAGCAGUGGGGAAUAUUGCACAAUGGGCGAAAGCCUGAUGCAGCGACGCCGCGUGAGGGAUGACGGCCUUCGGGUUGUAAACCUCUUUCAGCAGGGAAGAAGCGAAAGUGACGGUACCUGCAGAAGAAGCGCCGGCUAACUACGUGCCAGCAGCCGCGGUAAUACGUAGGGCGCAAGCGUUGUCCGGAAUUAUUGGGCGUAAAGAGCUCGUAGGCGGCUUGUCACGUCGGAUGUGAAAGCCCGAGGCUUAACCUCGGGUCUGCAUUCGAUACGGGCUAGCUAGAGUGUGGUAGGGGAGAUCGGAAUUCCUGGUGUAGCGGUGAAAUGCGCAGAUAUCAGGAGGAACACCGGUGGCGAAGGCGGAUCUCUGGGCCAUUACUGACGCUGAGGAGCGAAAGCGUGGGGAGCGAACAGGAUUAGAUACCCUGGUAGUCCACGCCGUAAACGUUGGGAACUAGGUGUUGGCGACAUUCCACGUCGUCGGUGCCGCAGCUAACGCAUUAAGUUCCCCGCCUGGGGAGUACGGCCGCAAGGCUAAAACUUAAUGAAUUGACGG
RNAcentral lists this ribosomal RNA (567 nucleotides) under uncultured bacterium. RNAcentral describes it as "bacterial SSU rRNA". It matches the Rfam family "Bacterial small subunit ribosomal RNA", at positions 338 to 916 of the family's 1533-position model. The record is from RNAcentral.